Molecule: ribosomal RNA, 492 nt
Filed under: uncultured bacterium
Lineage: Bacteria
Description: partial 16S ribosomal RNA
Rfam family: Bacterial small subunit ribosomal RNA
Source: RNAcentral
AGUGAACGCUGGCGGUAGGCCUAACACAUGCAAGUCGAACGGCAGCACAGUAAGCGCUUGCUCUUACGGGUGGCGAGUGGCGGACGGGUGAGGAAUACAUCGGAAUCUACUUUUUCGUGGGGGAUAACGUAGGGAAACUUACGCUAAUACCGCAUACGAUCUACGGGUGAAAGCAGGGGAUCUUCGGACCUUGCGCGUUUGAAUGAGCCGAUGUCGGAUUAGCUAGUUGGCGGGGUAAAGGCCCACCAAGGCGACGAUCCGUAGCUGGUCUGAGAGGAUGAUCAGCCACACUGGAUCUGAGACACGGUCCAGACUCCUACGGGAGGCAGCAGUGGGGAAUAUUGGGCAAUGGGCGCAAGCCUGAUCCAGCCAUGCCGCGUGGGUGAAGAAGGCCUUCGGGUUGUAAAGCCCUUUUGUUGGGAAAGAAAAGCAGCAGGUUAAUACCCCGCUGUUCUGACGGUACCCAAAGAAUAAGCACCGGCUAACUUCGUG